AAAGUAGCUAGCCAGUUCUGUGCAUGAUGUGCAUGCAUACUCAAUCGGGUCUCAUUCUAUUCAACAGGUGAUCUCGAUGGAUCGCAAAAUUUGUGAAGCGACAAAACCUAAAAUAGUUACCAUUUUAUCGGGAAACGAGAUCAUGGCAGAGGACUGGGGUCGAUUUUCUGAUCACCUCGGAAUCUUAUCUCAUCAUAUUGUGGAACUGAAAAGGAAAGCAAAAAAUUUGACGACAUAUGACUUGUUCUCUGCCAUUAUAGCGUACUUCAUCUUCGCCAAAGGGAAGGAAUUUAUCGCAGCUUCUUCGCACCCUUGAUGCCGUAGAUUGUGCAGAGAAAAUCGAAGAACAAAUUGGAAACGAAGAUAAUAACAAUUGCAAAUUAUUGCCCGAUGAAGACAGCACUUUGAGCCGCACGUUCAGCCGUUUCCACUCCUUUUUUCAUCCACAUAUGAAACCUGUUUUCGUGACCAAUUACUAUCAGAAAUUUGAUAAGUAUACUUUCCUAAAAUUUCAGUACGAAAGGGUACUAAAAUUGGCAGAGAAUUAUUGCCAAAUAUCCGAAAGGUAUCCUAGGUUGGAGGAACGUGAAAAGGAGGAAUUUCACACUUUACAAGAAAAAUUGCGAGACAAAUUGAAGAAUGAUAAUAAACGGAAAUUUGUCCUCGAUAUGUUUAAAGCCUGCGAGACAAGCUUGCAAGAUACGAGGAAACAAUGGGAUGUGAUAAAUUUUCAAACUUUUUGUACUCACUUCGAGGAGGAUGAGCAUUCUAUAACGGAAGAAUGCUUAAUCCGGGUCAAGAUACUGUUGCUGACUUAUGGACGAGAUACAUAAAACGUCAUUACAAAAAAAAUAAUUUUUAUGAUUACACACCUUUCCGCCGGGAUGACUAAUUGAUUUUAUUUUUUUAAAUUGUUACCUGUCAAUGAACUAUUGUCAUCUUCAUUCGGCAAGGAUUAAAAGAUUUCGGAUAUUAAAAUCUAAAUUAUUCAUUCAUUUUCUAAUUAAACUAAUUUUUAUUUUUAAACCAGUUAAAGCCAAUCCAUUUUAUGAUUUACUUACAUACAAAGUACAUACAUACAAAGUUACAUAUUUAAUUAAGUAUCUGUGUCUAUCUGUUAUACAUAUAUUAACAUAUAUAACUACUUAAAAUCUUGUAGAUGCAUGGAAAUAAAUAAAAUUGGUAAGAAUAAUCGUACUACA
Folsomia candida is the source of this 1202-nucleotide long non-coding RNA. RefSeq lists it as uncharacterized. The record is from RefSeq and is a predicted model, not a curated record. The transcript has 2 exons. Lineage: Eukaryota; Metazoa; Arthropoda; Collembola; Entomobryomorpha; Isotomidae.